This 133-nucleotide small nucleolar RNA is filed under the name Carlito syrichta (Philippine tarsier). RNAcentral's name for it is "Small nucleolar RNA SNORA1 (ENSTSYG00000032120.1)". It matches the Rfam family "Small nucleolar RNA SNORA1". From Rfam's summary of the family: ACA1 is a member of the H/ACA class of snoRNA that guide the sites of modification of uridines to pseudouridines. The record is from Rfam by way of RNAcentral. Lineage: Eukaryota; Metazoa; Chordata; Mammalia; Primates; Tarsiidae.
AGCCCCAUUCUACAUGAUAAUGGGCACAGUUGAUCAUGGAGUCCAAAAAUUAUUAAUGUUGCUAAAUUGAGACACAAGUUAUGCAUCCAUCACAGUAUGUAUUGCAGCGGUGGCAAUGAGACUUGUAAUAUUU